This is a small nucleolar RNA of Macrosteles quadrilineatus (aster leafhopper), 76 nucleotides long. The record is from RefSeq and is a predicted model, not a curated record. NCBI's taxonomy places the organism in Eukaryota, Metazoa, Arthropoda, Insecta, Hemiptera, Cicadellidae.
AAGGCCAAUGAUGACACAUUCUCACCGUGAAUGAUUUGUAUGAUUAUUUAAUACAUGCACUACCAACUGAGGCCUA